This is a long non-coding RNA of Eupeodes corollae, 1059 nucleotides long. RefSeq lists it as uncharacterized. The record is from RefSeq and is a predicted model, not a curated record. Lineage: Eukaryota; Metazoa; Arthropoda; Insecta; Diptera; Syrphidae. The transcript is spliced from 3 exons.
UAUAAUUCUUUCUUUUUCAGUCUUUUUUCAAGCUACAGCAACUGAUCAGGUGCUUCCACAAAUUAUAUGCGUAUUGUUGGCGGACUAGGAACGUGAAUAUUGUGGUUUACUUUUGUGAUGGUGUCAGAAUAAGAUUUCUCAUUGCUUACCCUACUCACGAAGCCGACGACGACUACGAAAAACCACAACAACAACAAUAAAAAAACGAAUAAAUAUUUAAGUUGAGAUGGAUUACUGUAAAUUGUAAUCAACUAUCAGCCAAACAACCGACUGACGACGGUGCGGUAACGGCGGCAGCAGCCAUAUUUAUCCACAAAAUAAAAACACUCACCGUCAUAUCAUCUUGAAUCGAGUUUAUAGCUUAUAGAGAGUGUACUAGAAUUAUAAUAUAUAACCUGCGACGAAGAAUAGUAGACAAAUGGGGGAGGAAUUCAUCAUGGAAUGCAAAAAGACUCACUCGUCACUCGCUCUCAGUCAGUCUCACAAUCGCACAUCACACAUUUUUAACGCCCGGCAUUGGCUAUUUACCUCUUGCUUUGUCUUUAAGAGAGAGAAUCUAAACAACAAAAAAAAACAAAAACAUACUUUCAACAAAGACGCCAUCUGUCUUAGAAUAUUUCGACUAACGGAGUUAUUCAGGCUAUGUGUACACUAUGUACGCAAUUAUUCCAAAAACUUCAAAAAAAUUCACGGCGAAAAUUCCUCACGAAAAACUGCCACAUUCCAAAAUUUUUACACUACCACCACGUGUACGUGUAUUGUUUUCGCCGCCCUCGCCCUACAGAAGCAACAGCAGCGAGUAUAUGAUAUAUGAAUAUAAGAGCGAGAGGUUAAGAGCGAGUGAGAGUUGGUUGGAUAUUUUUGAAGGGGAAGCAGAUCACACUUAAACAAGUUGGAGAGUAGAUUGCGGCGAAUUUAUCUAUCACCUCCUUCUCAUUCCUCCCACCCAGCGAACCGGCGAAUUAGCGACCCAGCUGCCUGUUGUUGGGUCUUUCUUUUUUUUUUGAGAAGCAGCGUAGGGUUUUUGCUUUUUCUAAUGUUUUGAAAACACACAAAAAC